Non-coding RNA from Paramuricea clavata, 901 nucleotides. NCBI's taxonomy places the organism in Eukaryota, Metazoa, Cnidaria, Anthozoa, Malacalcyonacea, Plexauridae. The record is from the annotation of a GenBank genome assembly.
AUUUCAUCAGGGCAAAGAAAUGAGAAAUAUCAGCCUUAAUGCUCACUAUAUCGUGUUGUUCAAGUCACCAAGAGAUAAACAGCAAAUUUCUAUGCUUGCCAGACAAGUAAAUCCCGGGAAAGUACAAGAGUUUAUGAGGAGUUAUGAAGAUGCUACGAGCCGACCUCACGAGUAUUUGAUGUUGGAUUUAAAGGCAAGAACAGACGAUCAACAACGACUCAAGACAACCGUACUUCCCGGCGAGAUUGCAAAGUUUUUACACAAACAGUCGUAUCGUCAACUACCACUUGUAAACGCCAUGUAUGAUGCCGAACAGAGAAUGAAAGAAAUCAUGGAUGCACCACAGCUUAGUGCCGUGGAAAAAAGCAAGCUUUACUCUGAUCAACUAAAUCGGUUUCUCACAUUCAAAAAUAGGAUGGAUGUCCCGGCUCAAGCCCCUGUUCAAACAACUCCACCAGUGCCUGCUACUCCUAAACCUAAUUUCUUUACGCCACCAUCAACAGAACAGGAACGGCCAAAACUCAAGCGCAACUUUUUUCACAAUUUGGUAGAUUCUGCUGAUUGGAAAGAAAGUGACUUGGCUAUGAUGAAACCGAACGAAAGAGAGCGGUAUGAACGUUUUAUAUUGAGCGACAGACCAAAUAUAUAUUCCAAUGAAACCCGAGCAAGUAGCAAAGUUAUCCCCUCAAGACAGACAAGAGUAUGAGAACUCUUUAAAAAUAACAAAAACACCUAAACGUUACGCUCUUAGAAGUAGACCGUACUAAAUUUUGUAAAACGUUUUGAAGAAAUAAAUGUAUUUUAAAACUGAAAUCGUGUGUAAAUUUUUGCCCGUAAAGCCUCGCGCCCGAAGUAAACCAAUAUUAAUCCCUCUAUUGUAUCACACACGUGGAGGGACGCU